RNAcentral lists this ribosomal RNA (469 nucleotides) under uncultured bacterium. Its description in RNAcentral is "SSU rRNA". It matches the Rfam family "Bacterial small subunit ribosomal RNA", at positions 26 to 518 of the family's 1533-position model. The record is from RNAcentral.
AGGAUCAACGCUGGCGGCGUGCAUGAGACAUGCAAGUCGAACGGACACUCAGGGCUUGCUCUGAGUGUUAGUGGCAGACGGCUGAGUAACGCGUAGGUGACCUGCCCCGAAGUGGGGAAUAACUGCCCGAAAGGGUGGCUAAUACCGCAUGUGGUGAUGCGUUCAUUCGCAUCAGUAAAGCCGCAAGGCGCUUCGGGAGGGGCCUGCGUCCGAUUAGCUCGUUGGUGGGGUAACGGCUCACCAAGGCGACGAUCGGUAGGUGGUCUGAGAGGACGAUCACCCAGACUGGGACUGAGACACGGCCCAGGCUCCUACGGGAGGCAGCAGUCGGGAAUUUUGCGCAAUGGGCGAAAGCCUGACGCAGCAACGCCGCGUGAGGGAUGACGGCCUUCGGGUUGUAACCUCUUUGUCAGGGAGAUUAUGACGGUACCUGGCGAAUAAGCCACGGCUACUACGUGCCAGCAGCCGC